This 497-nucleotide ribosomal RNA is filed under the name uncultured bacterium. RNAcentral's name for it is "partial 16S ribosomal RNA". It matches the Rfam family "Bacterial small subunit ribosomal RNA", at positions 28 to 507 of the family's 1533-position model. The record is from RNAcentral.
GAUGAACGCUGGCGGCGUGCCUAAUACAUGCAAGUCGAGCGAACAGACGAGGAGCUUGCUCCUCUGACGUUAGCGGCGGACGGGUGAGUAACACGUGGAUAACCUACCUAUAAGACUGGGAUAACUUCGGGAAACCGGAGCUAAUACCGGAUAAUAUAUUGAACCGCAUGGUUCAAUAGUGAAAGACGGUUUUGCUGUCACUUAUAGAUGGAUCCGCGCCGCAUUAGCUAGUUGGUAAGGUAACGGCUUACCAAGGCAACGAUGCGUAGCCGACCUGAGAGGGGGAUCGGCCACACUGGAACUGAGACACGGUCCAGACUCCUACGGGAGGCAGCAGUAGGGAAUCUUCCGCAAUGGGCGAAAGCCUGACGGAGCAACGCCGCGUGAGUGAUGAAGGUCUUCGGAUCGUAAAACUCUGUUAUUAGGGAAGAACAAAUGUGUAAGUAAAUAUGCACGUCUUGACGGUACCUAAUCAGAAAGCCACGGCUAACUACGUG